Sorghum bicolor (sorghum) is the source of this 2440-nucleotide RNA transcript. It is a transcript of the gene named serine/arginine-rich splicing factor SC35-like, with no coding region annotated. The transcript is spliced from 11 exons. NCBI's taxonomy places the organism in Eukaryota, Viridiplantae, Streptophyta, Magnoliopsida, Poales, Poaceae. The record is from RefSeq and is a predicted model, not a curated record.
AAAAAUUCGUAUGCGAUGGGCCCACUUGUCGUCUCACCGUGCCGCGUGCGUGCAAGCCUAGAAGAAUCGGCAGCUUUGGUGGCCGCCCCCUUCCCUUUCCCUCCCCAUCCCCUCCUAUCCCUCUCGCCUUCCCACCCUUCAUCCACCCGCCGCUCCUCGAGCCCACCGUCCCGCGCCGCCUCCGGCUCCGGCGAGAUGUCUCGCUUCGGUCGAUCCGGUCCGCCGCCGAUCCGCGACACGUACUCACUCCUCGUCCUCAACAUCACCUUCCGCACGACUGCUGAUGACCUCUUCCCACUCUUCGACAAGUACGGCGAGAUUGUCGACAUCUACAUCCCAAGGGACCGCAGAACUGGUGACUCGCGCGGAUUCGCGUUCGUGAGGUACAAGUACGAGGACGAGGCACAGAAGGCAGUUGAUAGGCUCGAUGGGAGAUUGGUAGAUGGGAGGGAGAUCAUGGUGCAGUUUGCCAAGUACGGCCCAAAUGCUGAGCGGAUUAAUAAAGGGAGAAUAGUGGAGCCAGUUCCAAGGCCAAGGGGCCGUUCUAGAAGCCGCAGUCCAAGACGGAGGUACCGUGAUGAUUAUCGAGAUGACUACCAGGAUAGAGAUUAUAGAAGGCGAAGCCGUAGCCGGAGUAGAGAUAGAUAUGCCCGUGACAGGUACAGAGAUAGGGAUUACCGCCGUCGUAGCCCGAGUCGCAGCUACAGUCCUGAAGAUUACAAGAAGCGUGGGAGAGACAGUUUGUCUCCUGCACGAAGAAGCCCUAGUCGUAGCCGCAGUCGCAGCUACAGUCCUGAUGAUUACAAGAGGCGUGGCAGAGACAGCGCAUCACCUGCAAGUAGGAGCCCUAGUCGCUCCCCUCCUCGCAAGAUGUCACCUUCUCCUGAGAGAUCUCCUGCCAAGCACAAUGAUGACCGGUCUCCACGUUCUCGGAGCCCUUCGACAUAAGCACAAUACACUUGCAGAGCAUCUUGAACAAUGAACAACUCAGGAUGAAUGGACUUGCCCUGAUCCUAUGUAUGGCUACACAUUUGCUCGAUGGUGGGCUCUUCUCAGUUAAAGUUGUGUAGUGUUGUCUGCCAGUUGCUGCUUCAACCUUGGAAUACUACUUUCGUUUGGCACCUGAACUGCUUAUCAAAAACUUUAUUUACAUGAUGGAGUGAAGAUGUGCUGGCUGAUAUGCGGUCAACAUGCACGUAGCUUACUGUUGAAGUUGAUAAAUCUGUGCUGUUUGAGUUGUUGAUGAUGAUGGCUGAUGAGAUGGUGAUUGAUGAGAUGAUGGCACUGCAGCUGCCUGCACCAUUUGCUGUCUGCACCUAUUAUGCUGACAAGUAAGAUUCCAAUGAUUUAGCUGAAUUUAGUGUACCCAUUUUUCCCAUCAUAAAAUGCAUCACACCACGCAUCAACAUGCUAGGUGUUAACCCCCUUUUAGUAUUUGGAUCUAGAAUUGUCUGCACUGAUUUAUCAUAGAUCUGUUUUGGGUUUUUGGAUCAUGAGCUCUGCAUGUGCACCAUUAAUUGUUGCAUGCACUGUUUGUCCUCAAUUCAUUUAUGCCGUUUGCCAAACAUGUCUUAUCAAGAAUGCAUAAGCUCAGUCUUAUUUUGGAAACUGUUCCAUUGGCGUAAGUAGGUGAGUGUUGUUUAAGCUGUUCUCGUGUCAGAAUGCCGUUGCGCAAUCCAAGUUCAUCGGCAUGCUCAUGAGUCAUAAAAGGGUAUCUUUGCCUGGUUAUCCCAAUUGUUUAUUAAACUCACCACCCACUUAUGCUUGCAAGUUGAUGCUUUGCAUGAAAUAAGAAAGUUCUCUGCACUAAUGCAUUGAGAGUAGGAAAGGUGUGAUGGCAUGUGAGUGUUUGGAUUUGCUGGUGCUCUUUACCCUUCUUCAGCAAUAGAAGGCGUGGGAGAGGUUUCGGCAACAGAAUGCCUGACUGGUUGAUUGACCUUCUGGAUCUGAAUGCUGAUGAUUUGCUGCAAAGACUUCGUCCCAUGUCAUUUGUGGAGUCCGUUGACCGAUCAAAUUGUGUAACUACCGAUUAUUUUGUAACACUUUGAUCUGCUUGUGUGUGAAAAAGGGGAAACCUACUUCGGCAGUUCAGCAGUUGGUGGUGUUGUGCCCUGCUCUUUGCAGUACUGUUACGCGUAUAUCAUCUGACCUCACGGAGCACCACUGCACCAGCGCGUCACGGUCCAGUCAUUCUUGGUGUUAGACGGAAACUGGUGUUGACACGUAGAUGUUGAAAUCAAAUUUGUGUGCACGCGCACGGUGCAGUACCGUUGUGUGACUUGUACUAAAAAGAAUGGAGGGAGAGGGAAGGCAGGAGGGAGAGUAGCGUUGAUUUUCAGGAAUGAAAAGCUAUGGCUAAAAGUAUUGAUAGUUGAUUUGUUAUGAUAGAGAAAUACUAUUGAAUAACUGACAGAUUUGACAUGUCUGUAUAUACCUGUUA